Molecule: non-coding RNA, 2420 nt
Organism: Aegilops tauschii subsp. strangulata
Lineage: Eukaryota; Viridiplantae; Streptophyta; Magnoliopsida; Poales; Poaceae
Source: RefSeq, a predicted model, not a curated record
AGAAAACCACCCCGCACGAGGAACGCCCUUCCUCUCGAUCCCCUCCCGUCGCCGCCGCCGUCCUCUCUCCGAUCCCUAGCCUCGCACCUUCUCCCAUCCAUCCCCUCGCCUCUCUUUCCCCCGAUCUAGAUGGCACCUCCCACCAUGGCGGGGAGGCGGCUUCGAGCGCCGCCUGAUCUCCUCGACCCAGGGCCUCACGCUCACCAGCGCCCGUCCAAUCGCGCGCGACCUCUCCAAUGCAGCGCGCCCCCGCCCUGUCGCCGAUGUCUUGAUGUGCAGCCCACGCCAUGGGUCUCCGCCGACGCCACGAUGGUCGUGGCCUCCUCACUCGCCGACGCCUCCGCUCCAGAUCCGAGCCGCUGGUGAGCCGUCAAGGUCGGGGCAUGGUACUAUCCAUCUUCCCGCGUGUAGGGCAGCCGGUGCCCGCGUCCGCGUAUCCUGGCCAUGGGUGUUGUAUUCAUCUCCUACAUGGGGCGACGAGGAAGAUGAGCCUAGCGGCACGUGUGCCUUCCAGCCGCUCUUGUGAGAUCGGGAGGCAAUCAAAAGCAGGAAGGGGAGAUCGAUGCUUGGGGGUGACAUCCAAUGACCCAGGCAUCACCCUCUCCUGACGUCUUACUACAAACCCGCAGCCACUGCCUCCUCGAUCUACGCUAGCCUGCAGCAGCAAGGUCAGCCCCCCACACUCGGCAUUUUUUUCUUUAGGUCUUGGCGCGGGAAACUGAAAAAGAGAUGCUCCAACAAUCACCACAUCCCCCAUACUGAUUCCUGCAAAUAAGCGUUAAAUAAAAGUAUAUCGAGUUUGAUGACGAUGAUGAUUGAAAAGAAGAGGAUGAAGCACUAGUCAGAGGGUAUCCGAGUGUACAUGAUGCCCCUGGGUGGGUGUCGGCGUGAGCUGGUAUGGCCCCGUCGUGGCUAUGUAGAUGGGGAGGCGGGGUGGAGGCUGGGACUGCAUGGGGAAAAAGCAUAAAGAGCAAGACGGUAGUGAUGUACUGUGGCAUGGUCAUGUGUGUAGCCUCAGCACAGCGUUGUACUGUGGCAUGGCUGUGUGUGACCUCGGUGCAGCGGCAAAGAGUAGUCUUUGGAGCAGGGCAGCGGCACACACACACAUGAGGGUGGCCCUCGAGGCUUGGGGGUUAAGCAGGUGCGUGAUGGAUCCCGUGGAAGUGGAGAGAGAAGCAUCAUGCUCGUGAACUUGAAAAAUGAUUUCGAGUUUGAACAAAGAAAGUUUACCAAAGAAGACAUCAAAGAAAUUAUAUUUAGGAAGAUACUGGAAUACCUCCCUCAACUUCUCAAGGAUUACAUGCACGGAUCUGAAAAUACUUACUAUGUCCUAUGUUUCUACCUUGACAUAUCCUGUAACUUUUCUGCCUCCUAUUUUGCAUAUGUAGCAAUAGUCAUAACUUAUGUCGUUGAAUCAAUAUUUGCCACUACUGACAAUUUGCAUAGGCAAUCUGCUAAGAGGAAGAUGGUGGAAAGAGCGGGCGAGUCGAGAGAAAACAUUUUCUUCUCCCAAGGUAAUUUACACUAUCAUAAUUCCCCCAACUGUGACUUGUUAUAUACACACCGAGACCACCCCACACCGCCACUAUAGUACACGGACGCUGCUCACCUGCAAAGGGCAAAAGGCUCCUCCUUUUACCAUAAAACAUGUCCCUGGGUAGGAAGGUGGCCUACCCAGCCACAAGCAAAAAAGAGAAGGUCGCUUGCAGACACCGGUGGUGAAGAAAACGAUCCGGAAGAGCAGAAGUGUUAUUCCAUACCGAGCUGUACCGUGUGUUUUCAGUUUUAUGAAGAAUGGUUUGCGAUUACACGGUAUUUGAAACCUUCUUUUCACACACUGAGCCUUGUGAUCUGACGGUAUGUGGCUUCUGUGUUCUUGCGUAGGUGUCGAACUACACUAUCAGCAGCAGAUGCUGCACCUUGUCUUUAGCAAAGACGGAAAGCCUGCUAAUUAAUGAUACAGGGAGAUGAACGAUGUGGAUAUGAAGAAGUAGUGGGUUGUGCUUUUCAGCAGUAAAUGCAUUUAGAGAUUUGAUGGCUUGCUCCAAAGACAAGCAACUAAUCUCGUUGAUGGGAUUGCUGCGCAGAUUCAUGGAUCGUGCUCUUCCGUGGUAAGGAGCCUGUGGCUCUCUCAAGUCUCAACUGAUCAGAAGAUCUUGGUGUUAGCUGGUUGGUCAGAGGAAGAAAGCAGAACGCAUGAAUGAAAGUGGUGUUGGGGAACGUAGCAGAAAUUCAAAAUUUUCUACGCAUCACCAAGAUCAAUCUAUGGAGUAAUCUAGCAACGAGGGGAAGGGGAGUGCAUCUACAUACCAUUGUAGAUCACGAUGCGGAAGCGUUGCAAGAACGCGGAUGAAGGAGUCGUACUCGUAGCGAUUCAGAUCGCGGUUGAUUCCGAUCUAAGCGCACCGAAGAACGGUGCC